RNAcentral lists this ribosomal RNA (253 nucleotides) under uncultured bacterium. RNAcentral's name for it is "partial 16S ribosomal RNA". It matches the Rfam family "Bacterial small subunit ribosomal RNA", at positions 524 to 776 of the family's 1533-position model. The record is from RNAcentral.
UACGUAGGGUGCGAGCGUUGUCCGGAAUUAUUGGGCGUAAAGGGCUCGUAGGCGGUUUGUCGCGUCGGGAGUGAAAACCAGGUGCUUAACACCUGGCUUGCUUUCGAUACGGGCAGACUAGAGGUAUGCAGGGGAGAACGGAAUUCCUGGUGUAGCGGUGAAAUGCGCAGAUAUCGGGAAGAACACCCGUGGCGAAGGCGGCUCUCUGGGCCGGUACUGACGCUGAGACGCGAAAGCGUGGGGAGCGAACAGG